Molecule: ribosomal RNA, 502 nt
Filed under: uncultured Bacteroidota bacterium
Lineage: Bacteria; Pseudomonadati; Bacteroidota
Description: bacterial SSU rRNA
Rfam family: Bacterial small subunit ribosomal RNA
Source: RNAcentral
GGUAGCUUGCUACUUGCUGACGACCGGCGCACGGGUGCGUAACGCGUAUACAAUCUGCCUUAUACAGAGGGAUAGCCUUUAGAAAUGAAGAUUAAUACCUCAUGGUCUAUUAAUAUAGCAUUAUAUAAAUAGUAAAGCUUCGGCGGUAUAAGAUGAGUAUGCGUCCUAUUAGUUAGUUGGUAAGGUAACGGCUUACCAAGACAACGAUAGGUAGGGGCCCUGAGAGGGGGACCCCCCACACUGGUACUGAGACACGGACCAGACUCCUACGGGAGGCAGCAGUGAGGAAUAUUGGACAAUGGAGGUAACUCUGAUCCAGCCAUGCCGCGUGCAGGAAGACGGCCCUAUGGGUUGUAAACUGCUUUUAUAUAGGAAGAAACCUUUUCACGUGUGAGAAGCUGACGGUACUAUAAGAAUAAGGACCGGCUAACUCCGUGCCAGCAGCCGCGGUAAUACGGAGGGUCCGAGCGUUAUCCGGAAUCAUUGGGUUUAAAGGUCCGUA